Molecule: ribosomal RNA, 429 nt
Filed under: uncultured archaeon
Lineage: Archaea
Description: bacterial SSU rRNA
Rfam family: Archaeal small subunit ribosomal RNA
Source: RNAcentral
AACCAGCUCUUCAAGUGGUCGGGAUAAUUAUUGGGCUUAAAGUGUCCGUAGCCGGCUUAGUAAGUUCCUGGUAAAAUCGGGUAGCUUAACUAUCUAUAUGCUAGGAAUACUGCUAUACUAGAGGGCGGGAGAGGUCUGAGGUACUACAGGGGUAGGGGUGAAAUCUUAUGAUCCUUGUAGGACCACCAGUGGCGAAGGCGUCAGACUGGAACGCGCCUGACGGUGAGGGACGAAAGCCAGGGGAGCGAACCGGAUUAGAUACCCGGGUAGUCCUGGCUGUAAACGAUGCAUACUAGGUGAUGGCACGGCCAUGAGCCGUGUCAGUGCCGUAGGGAAACCGUUAAGUGUGCCGCCUGGGAAGUACGGUCGCAAGGCUAAAACUUAAAGGAAUUGGCGGGGGAGCACCACAAGGGGUGAAGCCUGCGGUUC